UACGUAGGUGGCAAGCGUUACUCGGAAUCACUGGGCAUAAAGGGCGUGUAGGCGGACGCGUAAGUCCGGUGUAAAAGCCCCCGGCUCAACCGGGGAAGGCCAUCGGAGACUGCGUGUCUGGAGUGCGGGAGGGGAGAGUGGAACUCUUGGUGGAGCGGUGAAAUGCGUAGAUAUCAAGAGGAACGCCGGUGGCGAAAGCGGCUCUCUGGCCCGUUACUGACGCUGAGGCGCGAAAGCUAGGGGAG
RNAcentral lists this ribosomal RNA (245 nucleotides) under uncultured bacterium. RNAcentral describes it as "partial 16S ribosomal RNA". It matches the Rfam family "Bacterial small subunit ribosomal RNA", at positions 524 to 768 of the family's 1533-position model. The record is from RNAcentral.